AGAGUUUGAUCAUGGCUCAGAAUCAACGCUGGCGGCGCGCUUAACACAUGCAAGUCGAACGAGAAAGGGUAGCAAUACCUGAGUAAAGUGGCGUACGGGUGAGUAACACGUGGAUGAUAUGCCUUUUAGUGGGGAAUAACUUUGGGAAACCGAAGCUAAUACCGCAUAAUCCCGAGAGGGGAAAGCAGCAAUGCGCUGAAAGAGUAGUCCGCGGCUGAUUAGCUAGUUGGUGAGGUAAUGGCUCACCAAGGCUUUGAUCGGUAGCCGGCCUGAGAGGGCACACGGCCACACUGGCACUGAAACACGGGCCAGACUCCUACGGGAGGCAGCAGUGGGGAAUCUUGCACAAUGGACGAAAGUCUGAUGCAGCGACGCCGCGUGAGCGAUGAAGCCCUUCGGGGUGUAAAGCUCUUUCGACAGGAACGAUAAUGACGGUACCUGAGAGAGCUGCGAUCCCG
This 458-nucleotide ribosomal RNA is filed under the name uncultured Acidobacteriaceae bacterium. RNAcentral describes it as "bacterial SSU rRNA". It matches the Rfam family "Bacterial small subunit ribosomal RNA", at positions 8 to 498 of the family's 1533-position model. Lineage: Bacteria; Pseudomonadati; Acidobacteriota; Terriglobia; Terriglobales; Acidobacteriaceae. The record is from RNAcentral.